This 465-nucleotide ribosomal RNA is filed under the name uncultured bacterium. RNAcentral's name for it is "partial 16S ribosomal RNA". It matches the Rfam family "Bacterial small subunit ribosomal RNA", at positions 28 to 507 of the family's 1533-position model. The record is from RNAcentral.
GACGAACGCUGGCGGCGUGCUUAACACAUGCAAGUCGAACGGAAAGGCCCUGCUUGCAGGGUACUCGAGUGGCGAACGGGUGAGUAACACGUGGGUGAUCUGCCCUGCACUUCGGGAUAAGCCUGGGAAACUGGGUCUAAUACCGGAUAGGAGCCAUUUUUAGUGUGAUGGUUGGAAAGUUUUUUCGGUGUAGGAUGAGCUCGCGGCCUAUCAGCUUGUUGGUGGGGUAAUGGCCUACCAAGGCGGCGACGGGUAGCGGGCCUGAGAGGGUGGACGGCGACAUAGGGACUGAGAUACGGCCCAGACUCCUACGGUGGGCAGCAGUGCGGAAUAUUGCACGAUGAGCGCCAGCCUGAUGCAGCGACGCCGCGUGGGGGAUGACGGCCUUCGGGUUGUAGACUCCUUUCGCUAGUGACGAUGCAUUUUGUGACGGUACCUAGAUAGGAAGCCCCGGCUAACUACGUG